ACCUUCGGGCCUCUUGCCAUCAGAUGUGCCCAGAUGGGAUUAGCUUGUUGGUGAGGUAACGGCUCACCAAGGCGACGAUCCCUAGCUGGUCUGAGAGGAUGACCAGCCACACUGGAACUGAGACACGGUCCAGACUCCUACGGGAGGCAGCAGUGGGGAAUAUUGCACAAUGGGCGCAAGCCUGAUGCAGCCAUGCCGCGUGUAUGAAGAAGGCCUUCGGGUUGUAAAGUACUUUCAGCGGGGAGGAAGGUGUUGUGGUUAAUAACCGCAGCAAUUGACGUUACCCGCAGAAGAAGCACCGGCUAACUCCGUGCCAGCAGCCGCGGUAAUACGGAGGGUGCAAGCGUUAAUCGGAAUUACUGGGCGUAAAGCGCACGCAGGCGGUCUGUCAAGUCGGAUGUGAAAUCCCCGGGCUCAACCUGGGAACUGCAUUCGAAACUGGCAGGCUUGAGUC
Molecule: ribosomal RNA, 454 nt
Filed under: Salmonella enterica
Lineage: Bacteria; Pseudomonadati; Pseudomonadota; Gammaproteobacteria; Enterobacterales; Enterobacteriaceae
Also listed under: 4 other names
Description: bacterial SSU rRNA
Rfam family: Bacterial small subunit ribosomal RNA
Source: RNAcentral